GAAAUGCGAUAAGUAAUGUGAAUUGCAGAAUUCAGUGAAUCAUCGAAUCUUUGAACGCACCUUGCGCUCCUUGGUAUUCCUUGGAGCAUGCCUGUUUGAGUAUCAUGAAAUCUUCAAAGUAAAUCUUUUGUUAACUCAAUUGGUUUCUACUUUGGUAUUGGAGGUCUUUGCAGCUUCCCACCUGCUCCUCUUUGUUCAUUAGCUGGAUCUCAGUGUUAUGCUUGGUUCCACUCGGCGUGAUAAGUUAUCUAUCGCUGAGGACACUGUAAAAGGUGGCCAAGGUAAAUGCAGAUGAACCGCUUCUAAUAGUCCAUUGUCUUGGACAAUACUUUUAUGAUCUGAUCUCAAAUCAGGUAGGACUACCCGCUGAACUUAAGC
This 378-nucleotide unclassified non-coding RNA is filed under the name plant metagenome. RNAcentral's name for it is "partial contains 5.8S ribosomal RNA, internal transcribed spacer 2, and large subunit ribosomal RNA". The stretch from base 1 to 105 matches the Rfam family "5.8S ribosomal RNA", at positions 50 to 154 of the family's 154-position model. The record is from RNAcentral.